GUUAAUACCAAAAACCGAAAUUUAACAAACCGCAAAACAAAUGCCGCAGCCACCAGUGACUCACGUGUUAGUUUCUGUCUCUUUGUGAGUUGUAUCGUUCGCUAAAAUGUAAAUUCUAAUUCCAAAAAUGAGUAAAAAACCGACCAGACACACAGGAUACUACUUCCUUCUAAUACUGCGUGUACUGCAUAUCUCCCAGGUUACAGUAUCUGCUUCCCAGCCGCGGGCCUGUUGUUUCUGGUAUAGUUUUAUAUGGUUCACUGCAAAACGACACGCGUCUCUCUCGUAUUCACUGACAGUUGAUCCAGCGGGAAUAAAAGACAAGACACAGCGGUACGUGUCCACAUCAGUCAGUGUUGCUGUGAUUGCCCAUAUACCGUGGGUGUACAGUAAAAAACGGCCCACACUGUUGUUGACAUAGUGUGGUGAUGAUUGUCUUUCAUCUCCUCACUCCUCACUUCAAUCUGCAGAAACAGGUGGUUGACCACUGAGAUGGAUGGUGACCCUCUCAACAGCAUCCAGUGAUGCACAUGAUGGAUGUGAUCACAUGUCACAGGAAUUUAACCGUGGAAGGGGAAUAUCUGCGUGAAGUCAGCUGUGUGUCACACAUGCGUGUGCUGCAAUGUGUUGAAGGUGUUGGCUCUGAGCAGCAGGUCAAAUAAUAGUCGUUUUUAAAUCCUCUUCUCUGGAAUCUAAUGUUCCAUCUAUUUAGGAAUCUCUACUGUGUUUGCUCAUAUUUGAUCAUUCAUUUAGUCGGUGAAACUCGUCAUAAUGAGGCGUUUAUUGUCAUUGCAGGCCGUGUGCAAAAAAGGAAAAAAAAAACCUCUGGACAAAAGGAACUCUUUACGUGUAAUGGAACAUUCAGUGACGACUGUAAACAACACUCUGGAGUCAUACAACUCGAGAGUGAAAGGUAUUCUGGAGGGAGCCGACAACGUCGCCCUGCUGGACAAUUUACUGCCCCUCUCUGGGAAUUCCACAUGAUCCAGUCUGACGUUCAGCUGCUGGAUGGACCACGUCGUCUCCUCUUCGUUCUUUCCCAUGCUGAUCCAGACGCCCAGACACAGGUGGAUUAACACAGGUAUACACAAACACAUGUCCACACAGUAGCCUGACCC
Long non-coding RNA from Cynoglossus semilaevis (tongue sole), 1118 nucleotides. RefSeq lists it as uncharacterized. The transcript has 3 exons. Lineage: Eukaryota; Metazoa; Chordata; Actinopteri; Pleuronectiformes; Cynoglossidae. The record is from RefSeq and is a predicted model, not a curated record.